Molecule: long non-coding RNA, 4692 nt
Organism: Oreochromis aureus
Lineage: Eukaryota; Metazoa; Chordata; Actinopteri; Cichliformes; Cichlidae
Source: Ensembl
GUCUGACCAUUAUAGUUUGUACUGCUAUCUAUCUUAUCCAGGACAGUAUCCUGGUUAAAUAAAUGUUAAAUAAAUAAAAUAAAAUCUGCUGAGUUAGUUUUUGUGGCUCUCAGUUGACUGUAGGGAACUAGCAAAAUAUUCAAACCUGUUAAAAACCUGUUUUAUUCAAAAAGUCUUUUUUUUUUUUUUUUACUUUAGUGUUUGUGUAGAUUAAAUAAACAAAAUAUUUCAUUUAAUUUAGUGCUGUCAGCGUUAAUCUCGUUAAAAUGACAUUAACGGCAUAACCGCAUUAACGCGGUAAAUCUCCGUUAGCGACAUCAGCGUAACUUUGUGCUGAACAUUGGGGGGGUCAAGAUCUCUGUCUAAAUAAAUAAAUAAAUCUGGGUAAAUUCCCAGAUGAUUAAACAUGCAACUGUUUUGCUGGUAAUACCUGAAAUGAGUAAAGAAAAUCAACAGCCUAUUUAUGCAAGAUAAAUUAUAAUUUUAUUGUGGGGGUUAUAUUGGUUGGGCCUGAUUAUUGCACGGUGCUAACAGGUUAACGAGCUAACCGCGUUAACGCUUUGACGCUGUGCAGCCCCAAGCAUGGGGCUGCACCCUAACUGAGAUUUGCUGCGUUAAUGUGGUUAUUCCAUUAACGUCAUUUUAACGAGAUUAAUGCUGACAGCACUAAUUUAAUUCCAUAAUUUUCUAGGCUGUAUUUCACCCCUUUUUCCAGCCUUUUUGCUAAUGUUAAUCUGAGAAAGUACUGGUAUUAAUAGCUAGCAGUACCCUCUGACUAUUUUCCUUACCAUAACCUAGGGUGACCAUAUUUUGAUUUCCAAAAAGGAGGACACUUGGCCCAGCCAUGAAGAACUUCAGCUGAAUGGUGAAAUAAAAAAUGUCAUAUAGGCUUUUUCAAGUCAACAAGUGCAAAAAAAUAACUUAAAAACCCCUGGAAUUAAAUAAUGGUACAGAAAUAAGGCCUCAUCUGUAUAAAAAAAAAUUACCACUACCGGGACGGUACGAGGGAAGCUGCACUUGCGCUUUGGCAUCUUUUAAACAUCAUCAGGCAUGCUGCUGCACGCUGUCUGUCCCGUCUGUGAACGCAGAACAACCACUCACGAAGCAGCAGCUCAGGAUGACGUCACACAUAUGGGUCCUCUGUAGGCCUAUAGAAAAACCCGGACAUUUUCAUCAAUCUCGAAAAUGCCCCCGGACGGCUCGGACAGAAUGUGAAAAGUGGACAUGUCCAGGAAAAAGAGGACAGUUGGUCACCCUACCAUAACCAUGAGUAUGGCAUCAACCGUUUUACACCACAGCUUUGGGCACAUAAUUGUCAUAGUUGGCAUUUUGAAUUUACUUCAAGUACAGUUUGAUUACUUUUAGUUUUUUCUUGUAGAGUUUCACAAAAAAGUUCUACAUUUGCUGGUCGCUAGCUAACACUAGCUAGCUAGCUAACACUAGAACGUUAUAUAUUUCAUGUCGAUUUCAUUGUUUUUUGUGUUUGACUGUAUUUGUUAUUUAUUUGUCAAAGAUUAAAUUCUUUUUCUUCAAGCUAGCAUGAGCUGGGCAAGUGUCAGAGAGACAAAACUGCAUAAAAUCAAACAAUGCAAGACCCAGAUUAUUGAGGAAACACUAGGUGUUUGAAAGCUUGCAAAAAACUAGUCCCAAACAAAACAUUAUUUUCUCAAUCUGUUUUCAAUGAUAGACUGUUGUUCUCAAUCCUAACCAUCAUUGUACCAUAAACUGAAGCACCAAGCCUAAGAUGGGUGGAAAAGUCAUAAACUCAUAAACUAAACAAAUAACUCAGCUACUAAAGGAAGUAUGUGUAUAAGUCAAUAGUCUAGAUGGCUCAAGCAACUCUUUUAUUAGACAGAAUUGCAUGCUAUAGAAAGCAGAUGAUACUUUUAUAUUUAUGUAUUUAUUUAAAACAUAGUGAUUGCAAAGCUUUUCACUAGGAAAUUACAGUAUUUGAGCAAAAUGCCAAAUUAAUCUUAAGAAAAUGUUAUCAAUAAAAUUAAAUUAUUUAGCUUAAAGGAAAUAUCGGUAUUCACUUACAAAGAUUCUUUACCUUUAUAAAAGAAUAGAAAAGCUUAAGUAUCAAAUGUGAAGGACAAUAGGAAGAUUAACUCAUAAAAUUAAAUACACUGAACCCACUAGAUGAGUAGUAUCUGUCAAUAAGAUACAAAUAUCAAAUAAAAUAUAAAUACAUUUCAUACUAUUAUGUAAAUGUUUUGAUCAGCUAAGGAUUAUUUUCUGGCCUUCAGUCAAGCAAUCAAAAUAGCAAAGUGGUGAAACAGACAUUAUUAUGUCUUCCUCUUGGCCCAUGAGAUCACAAUCUUGAAUAUACAUAUACUAUACAUAUAUCAGUUUAUUCCUUCUUGAGCCAUUCAGACAUUUAAGCCUUCCUCUAUCCACUCAGCAUGGUCAGGAUUAAGUCUGAUCUCAGGAUAGGACAUGUUUCAUCUGACGAUCUACAUCCACUUCGAUCCUUAUUGUGCAACAGCUGGUCUUAGAUCUUCCCUGUGUACUUCAAUAUACCAAAGAUACCACCACCUGCAAUAAAAAUGGAUUAACUGUUAUUCAUUUAUUAAUGUCUCGCAAAGACAAAUAUGAGUCCAAGUCCAAGACUAGUCGAGAAAUUACUGAUUAAAUACUCAAAGUUGUGAAACACUGUAGCAAAAGUCUCAAUUAUUAUUUUCUAUCAUGUCAUUUAUCUUAGAGAACCAAUUUCUUUCCUAAGUAUAUUGUAAUCUUUUACAACUAUCACUAAUACAUUUUACUAAUGAUUAAUUAAUUAAAUUUAUUUCCUUCUAUAUUUGCAUAUUUUCUUGCCAAGAAUAGGCUCCUGUAUCUGUAAAGCACAUUCCCGGUUGCUAUGGCUCUUCCCCAGCACCAUCCUGGUUGAUGAAUAACAGAUGAUAUGUGAUUGAGGAAGCAGAAAUGUUGGUAAAUUCAGGCUCGUGUGUAGUACUGACCGACUGCUCCCACACCGGCAAUGGAGCCGAUGGUGAUGCCUGCUAUAGCACCCGGUGAAAGCCCUGAGUUGGAUUCCUUAACAAUCUCAGUGGUAGGAACUGAUUCAGUAGAAUCAGUUCCGAUGAUGGUGGUACUGGUGGUGUCAGAUGCGGUGACUGUGGCCGUGUUGGAUCCAUCAGUUGAAGCAGUCGAUGGAGCAGUUGAUAUUUCUGUGAUGGUGGUUGCUGGUGUUGCAGUAAUCUCACCCUCUCCUCCACACAGAAAUACUGUCAGGAAAAUCAAAAAGGAUUAAAAGGCAAAAUCAUGCAAAGGUUUCUCAAAAGGUUAACAAACCUCUGUUCCUGUGAUGCUGACAGAAACUAGUCACAACUUCUGACUUAAAACAUGUUUUUUUUAAAACAUAACAUUUUCUACAAUUUAUUAAAAAUGUUUCCAGAUUAAAGAUUUAGGUUUUCAGCCGUUGACAUUUAUGACCCAAUAUCAAGAUAAUGGAGUUCAGUACUUAUUUACAGCUUUGCGUUCUUAAUGGAAGAAUGUCUUAGAUAAUAAACUCAACCUUUGCUCUAAUGACGCUAUAGAAAAAGCCCCCGAAGGCCUAACCCUUUCAAGAAUUUCAACAUUUACUACUCUGUCUACGUGGCCUCCCAUCAACCUUCCCUUUGAUUACCAGGAAAUGCUUUAACUUUGGUCCACCACUACUAAAAUUUGCUACGAUGGUAUGCUACGACUAUGAUUAGAUUCUAUGCUAACACCAUGAAACAGAUCAUACUUCACGCAAAAAAUGAAAGGUAAGUCUAGAUAUGGAUGUGGUCCAAAUUAACCAUUAAAACUUUUUCAACUUUUUUUUUUUUAAAAAUCAUAAACUAUGAAUUAAAACAAAGUUAUCUGACGUAUAUAUGCUGAAUAUUUCAGUCAGCUUCCAUUUGAGGGCAGAGUGACCAGAGAUGUUUUAAAAAAGAUAAUCUUGUGAUGCUCCAUGUGUCAAUAACAAUUAAUUAAUAAUCUUUAGUUAUUCUCUUCAAACUCUCUUUAAAAAAAAUUUUUGUCCUCCCUUUUCUAAAAGGAUCACUUUUAAAGGUUUAUGUAUUGUAAAUUUUUUUUUUAUUUUUUUUUUUACCUGUGGUAAGAAGGCAAAAAGCCUGUAGAAGAAGACUCAGCUUCAUUGUGCUUUGAAAACGGGGAAUAAAUCGACGUAGUCAAAGAGACUUCUCAGGUCAAAAACUGCACGAAAAACACAAAAGCACAAACAUAAUGGUGAGUUAAUUUCACUAAAAUCUCUCACUCGCAGACAGAAAAUAUAUUAUAGCAGCUUUGGUGUUUUCAUAUCUGAACAUAUUUCGAUUUGUAGCGAGUUAAAUGCAUCUUAAACUCAUCUUAAAGUUUAUCACCUCAUUUUAGGCUGACCUGAGUUUAUCAUGUGAGACAGAUAAGAGUAACUUCAAUCAAACUGACAUCAGUAUUGUGUGGGAAUAAUGUAUUAUAGAAGGCAAAAAUAAUAAAAAUAUCUUUUUAAAUAAAUGCCAGUCAAGCCUAUAAUCAUUUACAUUUCAUGGCUCUACAUCACCAAGGCAUCACUAAUUUGUAAAUACAGUUAUAAAAAACACAAAAACUGUCAAGCGACUAUUUGUAGUCCCAUCAGAGAGAUAAUGGGUAUUUACCCAGAUGCCACAGCAGUCUAUGAAUGAAUCCAAAAGAUUUAAGAAAACUUCAAGAGAAAAACUGACUUACUCACCU